Non-coding RNA from Paramuricea clavata, 518 nucleotides. The record is from the annotation of a GenBank genome assembly. NCBI's taxonomy places the organism in Eukaryota, Metazoa, Cnidaria, Anthozoa, Malacalcyonacea, Plexauridae.
GAUGAAUCGGUGGAGGAUGAAUCCAAAUUUCACAUUCGAUUUCAUCAGCCAAAGAGAGUUUGUGCUUUUUGACAAGUUUUACUACAUCCCGGGGCAGGCCUUAAAAGAUCUUUUUUAAGGUGGUUUCCUCUCUACGUCGGGCAAUUUCACGAAUGGGUUGGACAAUGUCCAUGACCGACCGAUAUUUUAAGAGCCUGGCCGGGCAUAUUAUUUCCAGAAAGAAAGUUUAGGUUAAUAUCAUGCUGUGCAGGGUUGUUAUAGAUGAAGUAUAAUCGAUUGUGGAAAAAUAAUCGAUUAAACGAGAGCAGCUCUAUAUCAUAAUAAUUAAUUACCCAAGCAUCUACUUUUAUGUUGGGCUAUUCCAAUUUUGAACGCACCCCCCUGUCGAGGAACCUUGGAAUUCAAGGGGGGGAUGGAGCAUAAAUUUUGUUUGGAAUUUCCAUGGGGGUGGGGUGUCUUUCUAUGGGGAGGGUGCAAACAAAGGGGUUCCUCAACAGGGGGUGCAGAAAAAAUUGGAA